Molecule: ribosomal RNA, 497 nt
Filed under: uncultured bacterium
Lineage: Bacteria
Description: partial 16S ribosomal RNA
Rfam family: Bacterial small subunit ribosomal RNA
Source: RNAcentral
GACGAACGCUGGCGGCGUGCCUAAUACAUGCAAGUUGAGCGCUGAAGGUUGGUACUUGUACCAACUGGAUGAGCAGCGAACGGGUGAGUAACGCGUGGGGAAUCUGCCUUUGAGCGGGGGACAACAUUUGGAAACGAAUGCUAAUACCGCAUAAAAACUUUAAACACAAGUUUUAAGUUUGAAAGAUGCAAUUGCAUCACUCAAAGAUGAUCCCGCGUUGUAUUAGCUAGUUGGUGAGGUAAAGGCUCACCAAGGCGAUGAUACAUAGCCGACCUGAGAGGGUGCUAGGCCACAUUGGGACUGAGACACGGCCCAAACUCCUACGGGAGGCAGCAGUAGGGAAUCUUCGGCAAUGGACGAAAGUCUGACCGAGCAACGCCGCGUGAGUGAAGAAGGGUUUCGGAUCGUAAAACUCUGUUGGUAGAGAAGAACGUUGGUGAGAGUGGAAAGCUCAUCAAGUGACGGUAACUACCCAGAAAGGGACGGCUAACUACGUG